AAACUCGGAAAUAGCUGGUUCUCCGCGAAAUCUAUUUAGGUAGAGCGUCAUAUAUCAUCAUCGGGGGUAGAGCACUGGAUGGGCUAGGGGGUCCCAACGACUUACCAAACCUAACCAAACUCCGAAUACCGUUGAGUAAUAUCUGGCAGACACACUGCGGGUGCUAAGGUCCGUAGUGGAAAGGGAAACAGCCCUGACCGUCGUCUAAGGUCCCUAAGUUAUGGCUAAGUGGGAAAGGAUGUAGGGAUCCCAAAACAACCAGGAGGUUGGCUUAGAAGCAGCCAUCCUUUAAAGAAAGCGUAACAGCUCACUGGUCUAAAUAAGGGUCCCCGCGCCGAAAAUGUACCGGGGCUAAAGCCAUACACCGAAGACACGGGUUUGCAUGUUUACAUGCAAGCGGUAGCGGAGCGUUCCGUAAGCCUGCGAAGGGUGACUCGCGAGAGCACCUGGAGGUAUCGGAAGUGAGAAUGCUGACAUGAGUAGCGAUAAAGAGUGUGAGAGACACUCUCGCCGAAAGCCCAAGGGUUCCUGCGCAAUGCUAAUCAGCGCAGGGUUAGCCGGUCCCUAAGGCGAGGCCGAAAGGCGUAGUCGAUGGGAAUGCAGUUAAUAUUCUGCAGCCUGAUGAGAUGUGACGGAUGACGUAUAUCGUGCCGACUUAUUGGAUUGUUGGCGCGGUGAAGUUGUUCCAGGAAAUAGCCUCAUCAUUAAAGACCGUACCCCAAACCGACACAGGUGGGCAGGUAGAGCAUACCAAGGCGCUUGAGAGAACUAUGCUGAAGGAACUCGGCAAAAUGCCUCCGUAACUUCGGGAGAAGGAGGCCCUAUACUUGGGCAACCAGGUAUAGGGGGCACAAAAUUGGGGGUGGCGACUGUUUACUAAAAACAUAGGGCUCUGCGAAGUUGCAAAACGACGUAUAGGGUCUGACGCCUGCCCGGUGCCAGAAGGUUAAAAGGAGUGGUGAGAGCCGCGAAUUGAAGCCCUGGUAAACGGCGGCCGUAACAAUAACGGUCCUAAGGUAGCGAAAUUCCUUGUCGGGUAAGUUCCGACCUGCACGAAUGGCGUAACGACUUCCCCACUGUCUCCAGCAUAGACUCAGCGAAAUUGAACUCUCCGUGAAGAUGCGGAGUUCCCGCGGUUAGACGGAAAGACCCCGUGCACCUUUACUACAGCUUCGCAGUGGCAAUUGUGAUAGUACGUGUAGGAUAGGUGGUAGGCUUUGAAGCGAGUUCGCUAGUUCUCGUGGAGCCAUCCUUGAAAUACCACCCUUAUUCUUACGAUUGUCUAACCGCGGUCCGUUAUCCGGAUCCGGGACCCUGCGUGGUGGGUAGUUUGACUGGGGCGGUCGCCUCCCAAAGAGUAACGGAGGCGCGCGAUGGUGGGCUCAAGCUGGUCGGAAAUCAGCUGUCGAGUGCAAUGGCAUAAGCCCGCCUGACUGCGAGACUGACAGGUCGAGCAGAGACGAAAGUCGGUCAUAGUGAUCCGGUGGUUCCGCGUGGAAGGGCCAUCGCUCAACGGAUAAAAGGUACGCCGGGGAUAACAGGC
This 1543-nucleotide ribosomal RNA is filed under the name Globobulimina sp. Its description in RNAcentral is "bacterial LSU rRNA". It matches the Rfam family "Bacterial large subunit ribosomal RNA", at positions 835 to 2482 of the family's 2925-position model. Lineage: Eukaryota; Foraminifera; Rotaliida; Buliminidae. The record is from RNAcentral.